AUUGAACGCUGGCGGCAGGCCUAACACAUGCAAGUCGAGCGUGCGGCGGACGGGUGAGUAAUGUAUGGGGACUGCCCGAUAGAGGGGGAUAACUACUGGAAACGGUAGCUAAUACCGCAUAAUAUCGGCUACCCCAUAUGGGAUUAGCUUGUGGGGGGGGUAAUGGCUCACCUAGGCGACGAUCCCUAGCUGGUCUGAGAGGAUGAUCAGCCACACUGGGACUGAGACACGGCCCAGACUCCUACGGAGGCAGCAGUGGGGAAUAUUGCACAAUGGGCGCAAGCCUGAGGCAGCCAUGCCGCGUGUAUGAAGAAGGCCCUAGGGUUGUAAAGUACUUUCAGUCGGGAGGCGUUACCGACAGAAGAAGCACCGGCUAACUCCGUGCCAGCAGCCGCGGUAAUUC
Molecule: ribosomal RNA, 403 nt
Filed under: uncultured bacterium
Lineage: Bacteria
Description: partial 16S ribosomal RNA
Rfam family: Bacterial small subunit ribosomal RNA
Source: RNAcentral